RNAcentral lists this ribosomal RNA (368 nucleotides) under uncultured bacterium. RNAcentral describes it as "bacterial SSU rRNA". It matches the Rfam family "Bacterial small subunit ribosomal RNA", at positions 43 to 382 of the family's 1533-position model. The record is from RNAcentral.
GAAUUCGAUUCAGGCCUAACACAUGCAAGUCCAGGCCUAACACAUGCAAGUCGAGCGGUAGAGAUUCUUCGGAAUCUUGAGAGCGGCGUACGGGUGCGGAACACGUGUGCAACCUACCUUUAUCUGGGGGAUAGCCUUUCGAAAGGAAGAUUAAUACCCCAUAAUAUAUUGAUUGGCAUCAAUCGAUAUUGAAAACUCCGGUGGAUAGAGAUGGGCACGCGCAAGAUUAGCUAGUUGGUGAGGUAACGGCUCACCAAGGCAAUGAUCUUUAGGGGGCCUGAGAGGGUGAUCCCCCACAUUGGGACUGAGACACGGACCAGACUCCUACGGGAGGCAGCAGUGAGGAAUAUUGGACAAUGGGUGCAAGC